AGUCAAUAGAUACCCAGGUAGUCCACGCCGUAAACGAUGAGUACUAGGUGUAGGAGGUAUCGACUCCUUCUGUGCCGCAGUUAACACAAUAAGUACUCCGCCUGGGAAGUACGGUCGCAAGAUUAAAACCUCAAAGGAAUUGACGGGGGGUCCCGGCACAAGCAGCGGAGCACGUGGUUUAAUUCGAAGCAACGCGAAGAACCUUACCUAGACUUGACAUCUCCUGAAUAGUGUAGAGAUACAUGAAGCCCUUCGGGGUCAGGAAGACAGGUGGUGCAUGGUUGUCGUCAGCUCGUGUCGUGAGAUGUUGGG
Molecule: ribosomal RNA, 312 nt
Filed under: uncultured bacterium
Lineage: Bacteria
Description: bacterial SSU rRNA
Rfam family: Bacterial small subunit ribosomal RNA
Source: RNAcentral